GACGAACGCUGGCGGCGUGCUUAACACAUGCAAGUCGAACGGAAAGGCCCUGCUUUUGUGGGGUGCUCGAGUGGCGAACGGGUGAGUAACACGUGAGUAACCUGCCCUUGACUUUGGGAUAACUUCAGGAAACUGGGGCUAAUACCGGAUAGGAGCUCCUGCUGCAUGGUGGGAGUUGGAAAGUUUCGGCGGUUGGGGAUGGACUCGCGGCUUAUCAGCUUGUUGGUGGGGUAGUGGCUUACCAAGGCUUUGACGGGUAGCCGGCCUGAGAGGGUGACCGGCCACAUUGGGACUGAGAUACGGCCCUGACUCCUACGGGAGGCAGCAGUGGGGAAUAUUGCACAAUGGGCGGAAGCCUGAUGCAGCAACGCCGCGUGCGGGAUGACGGCCUUCGGGUUGUAAACCGCUUUCGCCUGUGACGAAGCGUGAGUGACGGUAAUGGGUAAAGAAGCACCGGCUAACUACGUG
This 468-nucleotide ribosomal RNA is filed under the name uncultured bacterium. RNAcentral describes it as "partial 16S ribosomal RNA". It matches the Rfam family "Bacterial small subunit ribosomal RNA", at positions 28 to 507 of the family's 1533-position model. The record is from RNAcentral.